This 466-nucleotide ribosomal RNA is filed under the name uncultured bacterium. Its description in RNAcentral is "bacterial SSU rRNA". It matches the Rfam family "Bacterial small subunit ribosomal RNA", at positions 329 to 793 of the family's 1533-position model. The record is from RNAcentral.
UGCCAGACUCCUACGGGAGGCAGCAGUGAGGAAUAUUGGUCAAUGGCCGAGAGUCUGAACCAGCCAAGUAGCGUGAGGGAAGACGGCCCUACGGGUUGUAAACCUCUUUUGUCGGGGAGCAAAGCGAACCACGUGUGGUUCAUUGAGAGUACCCGAAGAAAAAGCAUCGGCUAACUCCGUGCCAGCAGCCGCGGUAAUACGGAGGAUGCGAGCGUUAUCCGGAUUUAUUGGGUUUAAAGGGUGCGCAGGCGGUCUGUUAAGUCAGCGGUAAAAUUGGGGGGCUCAACCUCUGCGAGCCGUUGAAACUGGUUUUCUUGAGUGAGUGAGAAGUAUGCGGAAUGCGUGGUGUAGCGGUGAAAUGCAUAGAUAUCACGCAGAACUCCGAUUGCGAAGGCAGCAUACCGGCGCUCAACUGACGCUCAGGCACGAAAGUGUGGGUAUCGAACAGGAUUAGAUACCCUCGUAA